GGGCGAAANCCUGAUGCAGCAACGCCGCGUGAGUGAUGAAGGCCUUCGGGUUGUAAAGCUCUGUCUUUGGGGACGAUAAUGACGGUACCCAAGGAGGAAGCCNCGGCUAACUACGUGCCAGCAGCCGCGGUAAUACGUAGGUGGCGAGCGUUAUCCGGAAUUAUUGGGCGUAAAGAAUGCGUAGGUGGACUNUUAAGUCAGAUGUGAAAUCCCCGAGCUUAACUNGGGAACUGCAUUUGAAACUGGGAGCCUGGAGUGCAGGAGAGGUAAGUGGAAUUCCUAGUGUAGCGGUGAAAUGCGUAGAUAUUAGGAAGAACANCNGUGGCGAAGGCGACUUNCUGGACUGUAACUGACACUGAGGCANGAAAGCGUGGGGAGCAAACAGGAUUAGAUACCCNGGUAGUCCNCGCCGUAAACUAUGGGUACUAGGUGUGGGAGGUAUCGANUCCUUCCGUGCCG
RNAcentral lists this ribosomal RNA (459 nucleotides) under uncultured bacterium. Its description in RNAcentral is "partial 16S rRNA". It matches the Rfam family "Bacterial small subunit ribosomal RNA", at positions 373 to 848 of the family's 1533-position model. The record is from RNAcentral.